UUCAGAUGACAUAUAUGGUCCAAACCAUUGGGGGUAUAACAGAGUUCAUAUAACCUGAUAUUUUGUUCUUUUACAAGGCAUAUUCUCGAAUCAGAGAUAAAUUCCAGGAUCACCCUAACUAUAAACAUAUAUACUUCUGCUCAGUUUGUAGAUCAUUUUAGAGGUGAACAAAUCAUCAUAGAGUUCCAUUACAUAAUGAGUACCAUUAAGAGCAUGACAGAAGGUCUGCUUCAAAUUUGACGAUAAAUAGAGUACUUUUGUAAGGCACCCUCUUUCAAUGAGAACAGGCAAGAACGCUGCAGGACAUCCAACGAAAUCACAAGUAAUAAGUGACAAAUUCAUGAUUGACAAGAGCUGAGGUAAUAGUAACAAAAGAAGCUAGGCUUCAGGCAAUCAGAAUACUGUCAAUAGAAUGUAUCAAAUUAUCACAACCGAUGACUCCGUGAUCCUCAAGCAUGACUAGGACAUUAAAAAAGACCCAGAUUAAUCAUUAAUUAAAUUCCACACUAGAUCAUCUUCUACAUGCUUGUGGAGAUAACCAUCAUUGAUUGAACUGAACUGCAGUAGCAAUAGCACAAGUGCACUGCGCACAAAAUAAAGUAGCCAGAAGUAAUUUCUGCUAUUAAAUGUUUGCUAUGUCACAAAUUAUACAUACAAGAAAUAUAAAUACAUCAUGAGAAUUUGUGAUAAACUAUUCUAUCCUCCUUUACUUUGACCAGUUCUUCAUAUGAUAAGAUUAAAAUUUGAUUGUUUACACAUACGUUAAUCAGUUCUGCUUCUUUCUUUUCCCAGUAACAUCAUACCAUACUUGCAAUACGCAAUAAGCAGGGGCUUGUAACUAGAAUUCGGACAAAAUUCACUAUGAUGCAUAUCAAAUUUUAUUUUUUAUUUUAAUUAUAUUUUUACUUUUUAGAUUGCUGUUAUCAAUAGGUACAAGUUAGAUCACAUCAAGGUCUGCAACGUAGGUGAAAUUCAAUGUAAAGGCACUUACCUUAAGAGAUUAAUUGUGAACGUGCUCCUCAGUCUCUUGGCCUUGCCAACACAUUACACAUGUAGAUGAAGUGUGUGGUGCUCAGU
Molecule: long non-coding RNA, 1077 nt
Filed under: Aquilegia coerulea
Lineage: Eukaryota; Viridiplantae; Streptophyta; Magnoliopsida; Ranunculales; Ranunculaceae
Description: long non-coding RNA (ACOE_LNC001548)
Source: RNAcentral